This is a small RNA of 252 nucleotides. It matches the Rfam family "BsrG". Rfam says of the family: bsrE, bsrG and bsrH pair through intermolecular interactions with antisense sRNAs. The record is from Rfam.
UACAAUAUGGCUUUCGUGGGUGGCGGUUUCACUCCCUGACUGAAUUGCAGGAGAGGGGGUGAUGCCUAUGACAGUGUUUGAAGCGCUUGUGCUGAUGAUCUCGUUUGGUUCAUUAGUUGUUGCAUUGCUGUCACAAAAAAAAUAACCACCCAUAAGCCUGGCAAGCAUAGUGGGUAGUUAUUUUCUAUAAACUGUGUGAGCCGCCCCCUUGAAGGGCUAUUGUACAUGGCCGAUGGUGUACCAGCACCAUCG